Molecule: non-coding RNA, 148 nt
Filed under: Pan troglodytes (chimpanzee)
Lineage: Eukaryota; Metazoa; Chordata; Mammalia; Primates; Hominidae
Source: Rfam by way of RNAcentral
GCCAGGUGUGGUGGUGCAUGCCUGUAAUCCCAGCUACUUGGGAGGCUGAGGCAGGAGGAUUGCUUGAACCCAGGAAGCAGAGGUUGCAGUGAGCUGAGAUCGUGCCACUGCACUCCAGCCUGGGCGACAGAGUGAGACUCUGUCUCAA